AUGGGACGUCCGUCGUCCGGCGGGGGACAGCAGCCCAAGCUCCGGAAGGGGUUGUGGUCGCCCGAGAAAGACGAGAAGCUCUACAACCACAUCAUCCGGCACGGCGUCUGUUGCUGGAGCUCCGUCCCCAGGCUGGCCGGGGUGCACCGAUGCGGCAAGAGCUGCCGCCUCCGGUGGCUCAACUACCUCCGCCCCGUCCUAAGCGCGGCUGCUUGUCAAUCUCCAUGA
This 228-nucleotide ribosomal RNA is filed under the name Triticum aestivum (bread wheat). RNAcentral describes it as "partial small subunit ribosomal RNA". The record is from RNAcentral. Lineage: Eukaryota; Viridiplantae; Streptophyta; Magnoliopsida; Poales; Poaceae.